GGGUGCUUGGCGCAAUGGCUAGCGUGUUUGGCUUCGAUGUGCCGCUUACGUAACCACGUACCAAAAGGUUGCAGGUUCGAGUCCUGCAGUGCUCA
Molecule: non-coding RNA, 95 nt
Organism: Mycena epipterygia
Lineage: Eukaryota; Fungi; Basidiomycota; Agaricomycetes; Agaricales; Mycenaceae
Source: the annotation of a GenBank genome assembly